This 7428-nucleotide long non-coding RNA is filed under the name Gossypium barbadense (sea-island cotton). Its description in RNAcentral is "long non-coding RNA (GBAR_LNC014632)". The record is from RNAcentral. Lineage: Eukaryota; Viridiplantae; Streptophyta; Magnoliopsida; Malvales; Malvaceae.
AAAAAUAAAAAGUGAAAGAUGGCAUGCCAAGAUCUUGUUGUUGUUGUUGCACUUGUUUUCAUGGUUGUUGUUGGGGCAUUUGCUGUCGAAUCGUCACCUUCACCAGUCCCUUCCAAGGAAUCUUCACCUUCGAAGUCACCAUCUCCUUCUUCUCUGGCUUCAUCCCCCAAGUCCCCCUCCAUUAAGUCACCGUCACAAGACUCCAAUGGCUCAUCUUUUUCACCAUCAAAAUCCCACGAAGGAGCACCCAAGUCAUCUCAUCCUGGUGCCUCAAUGAUCUCUUCAAGCUCCUCUUCCCCUAAUCCUAGUCAAAGCGACAACCUUAACGCCAACAAAGGAUACUCUUCUGAGGUUGAGUCUCCUAUGGAGGUCUCAUCCCCUCCUUCACCAACCGCCAAUGAUGAAGUUUCUCACUCCCCUACUCCUAGCCCUGAAAGCACGAGUGAUGUUGUCGAUAGUGAGACCCUUGCACCAGCACCCUCUAAUGCCAAUGAAAUAAAGGCCACCACUUGUAUUGUCAGUGUUGUAACUCUUGUCGGACUCUUCCUCUUUUAAGCUUCACAUGCAUAAGUUCAUGGAAGGCCUUGAGAUGUGCUUUCUAGUUACCUUUAAUUUUUAUUAUAAAAAAGUCCUAUUUAUAUGCUAAUUAAAAUUGUACUUUUGAGGCCUGGAAUAAAAUUUAUAAUAUAUAUUUUUUAAUUAAUGUACUAAUAGCGAAUCAAAACCUGUUAAUAUCUGGCAUUAAAUAAGUUCGAAUCAUUGAUUAAGCUUGUUUAAGAAUUUUCAUGCUUAAGGUCUAACUUGAGGUAGUUAAAGCUUGUCCGUAUUCAAGCUCAAGCUUAGCCUAAUAAUUAAGUUUAGGUUAAUAAUAUAUACUAAAGAUGAUAACAUAUUUUAAUAAUAUAAAAACAUUUAAAAUAUAUAUUAAAAAUAAAAGUCUCGAUAAGGCUCACGAGCUAUUCAAGCAAGUAUUUUGUAAUAGCCUAAUUUUAGGGUUAGUCAAGACAGUGGUUUUUGGACCACAAUAUGAGGUCAAAAUAAUUAUUUUAUUAUUUUAUUAAUGUUUACAGUAUCAUAGAAUGUUCGUGUAAAAAUUUCGUAAAGAGAUUUUAUCGUUUAAGUGUUUAAUUGGUAAAAAGGACUAAAUCGCUUAAAGCGUAAAAAUUGAGUUCUAAUAGCUAAAAGUGUUUAAAUUCUCUAGAAUUUAAAGGAGGAAGUCCUUAUGUGUUAAUUAGUCCAAUUAUGAGAUAGUGGCUGAAAAUGGUUUGGUAAUGUGGUAAAUUGAAUUGAUUUUUAAGGUUAAAUUUGUAAUAUGGUUAUUAAGUAAAGUAAAAAUAAAAUAAACAAAGGUGUCAUCUUCCACCCAUUAUAUUUCCACCAAAAAAUGAGAAAGAAAACACCAUGGAUAUGGCUUCAAAGGUUUGGCCAUCUUAAGAUUAAAUUAUAAGUUCAUUUUUGACUCGGUUUUUAAUAAUUUCUACGUUUUUUAGAUCAUUGCUUCGAAAUCUAGCUAGCCCGUACCUCUGAUUUCAAAACUGUUAAAGAUUUUGAUAGUUGUCAUUGUUGAAUAUAUGUGUUAAUUGAAGUUUGAUGAUGAAAUAUGAAAUUUUGAUGAUAGUUUUACAUGUUCAGUAAAGUGAUUUUGAGUAAAAAUGUCAAUUUUGGACUAAAUUAAGAAAAAUGAUAGAUCGUGUGGUAAAAGUGUGAAUAAAUAAAAAAUGUUGGCUUUUAUGGAAAUAAUAAAAAUUCAGCUAGCUUGGGUUUGUGUUUAAUUUUAUGAAAUUGUGAUUUUAUGUGACAAGGACUGAAUUGCAAAAAUGUGAAAGUUUAGGGGCAAAAGUGUAAAAUUGCCAUAAUGUGUAAAUUGUGUUAAAUUGAGUGAAUUAGUGAUUAAAUAAGGUAAUUUUUUAAUAUAUAGAUUGAGAAAAACAAGAUUUGGACCUAGAAAUAGGACAAAAACUAUGUAUUGGAUUAGUCGACCUAAUUCGUCGUUUCAACGAACGAGGUAAGUUCAUAUGUUAAAUAAUGUUCUUAAAUUGUGUUCUAAAUGUCCAUUUAUCAUUGAAUUGAUAUGAAUAUUGAUUGGAUGAGUACGACCAUGAAUCGAAAAAGUUACAACGUUUGAAAGUCCCGUACGAACAUUUGGAAUAGCUUAGGAUACUAAGAUGUGAUUACGUGUAAGACCAUGUCUGGGACAUUGGCAUUCUUACGUGAUUCGUGUAAGACCAUGUAUGGGACAUUGGCAUCGAUACGAUAUUCGUGUAAGACCAUGUCUGGGAUGUUGGCAUCGAUAUGAAAUUCGUGUAAGACCAUAGUUGGCUAUUGGCAUUGAUAUGUGAUAACAUGUAAGAUCAUAUCUGGGAUAUGGCAUUGUGCGAGUUAUACGAGAUUUUUGAAUAUCCUUAGCAAUUCUUAAUAGUUCAACGGGGAAAUUCAAGACGAGAAUAAAAGUGUAAACGAAAUAAGUGGUACAGGUAUGUACGAUACUCAUACGUAUAUUGAAUGAAAGAAGAUUGAUAAAUAGAUGUGAGCUCUUGUAUAUUACAUGGAAAUGUUUGAGUUUAUGUAAGUGUUUGAUUUAUAUAAAUGCUUAUUGAGGAUAUCGAAUUUCACAUUAUGAGUAAGUGGAUAGUUAUGAGAAAUCCAUAUAGUUGGUUUAUGUGGCAUGUAUAGGCUAGUUGAUUGGAUAAGUACGACCAUGAAUCGAAAAAGUUACGACGUUUGAAAGUCCCGUACGAACAUUUGAAAUAGCUUAGGAUACUAAGAUGUGAUUACGUGUAAGACCAUGUCUGGGACAUUGGCAUUCUUACGUGAUUCGUGUAAGACCAUGUAUGGGACAUUGGCAUCGAUACGAUAUUCGUGUAAGACCAUGUCUGGGAUGUUGGCAUCGAUAUGAAAUUCGUGUAAGACCAUAGUUGGCUAUUGGCAUUGAUAUGUGAUAACAUGUAAGACCAUAUCUGGGAUAUGGCAUUGUGCGAGUUAUACGAGAUUUUUGAGUAUCCUUAGCAAUUCUUAAUGGUUCAACGGGGAAAUUCAAGAGGAGAAUAAAAGUGUAAACGAAAUAAGUGGUACAGGUAUGUACGAUACUCAUACGUAUAUGGAAUGAAAGAAGAUUGAUAAAUAGAUGUGAGCUCGUGUAUAUUACAUGGAAAUGUUUGAGUUUAUGUAAGUGUUUGAUUUAUAUAAAUGCUUAUUGAGGAUAUCGAAUUUCACAUUAUGAGUAAGGUUUUGUUAUAAGUAUCAAUAUGAUUACUAACAAUUUUUUUAAUUCACUAUUUUAAAAUAAAAAUGCAAGUAUAAACAAACAUUAACUAUUCAAUUAGAUUUUGAUUCCAAAGAAAAAAAUCAUAACAAAUAGAAGUUAAACAAGCCUAAUAAAAAAUAGAACAAAACCUUAAUAUAGUAUUGUGAGAUGUUAAAGGUUCAAUUUUAGUUCAUAAGAAAAUCACUUCUCUUACAUGCACAUAUUAUAUAUAUAUAUAUCAAUCUUUUAAUAAACAAAGAUAACAAGUUAUAAGAAAAUAUUAAAAAGAAAAAGUGAAAGAUGGCAUGCCAAGAUCUUGUUGUUGUUGUGGCACUUAUUUUCAUGGUUGUUGUUGGGGCAUUUGUAGUCGAAUCGUCACCUUCACCAGUCCCUUCCAAGGCAUCUUCACCUUCGAAGUCACCAUCUACUUCUUCUCAGGCUUCAUCCCCCAAGUCCCCCUCCAUUAAGUCACUGUCACAAGACUCCAAUGGCUCAUCUUUUUCACCAUCAAAAUCCCACGAAGGAGCACCCAAGUCAUCUCAUCCUGGUGCCCCAAUGAGCUCUUCAAGCUCCUCUUCCCCUAAUCCUAGUCAAAGCGACAACCCUAACGCCAACAAAGGAUACUCUUCUGAGGUUGAGUCUCCUGAAGAGGUCUCAUCACCUCCUUGACCAACUGCCAAUGAUGAAGUUUCUCACUCCCCUACUCCUAGCCCUGAAAGCACGGGUGAUGUUGUCGAUAGUGAGACCCUUGCACCAGCACCCUCUAAUGCCAUUGAAAUAAAGUCCACCACUUGUAUUGUCAGUGUUGUAACUCUUGUCGGACUCUUCCUCUUUUAAGCUUCACAUGCAUAAGUUAAUGGAAGGCCUUGAGAUGUGCUUUAUAGUUACCUUUAAUAUUUAUUAAAAAAGUCCUAUUUAUAUGCUAAUUAAAAUUGUACUUUUGAAGCCUGAAAUAAAAUUUAUAAUAUAUAUUUUUUAAUUAAUGUACUAAUAGUGAAUCAAAACCUGUUAAUAUCUGGCAUUAAAUAAGUUUGAAGCACUGAUUAAGCUUGUUUAAGAAUUUUCAUGAUUAAGGUCUAACUUGAGGUAGUUAAAGCUUGUCCGUAUUCAAGCUCAAGCUUAGCCUAAUAAUUACGUUUAGGUUAAUAAUAUAUACUAAAGAUGAUAACAUAUUUUAAUAAUAUAAAAACAUUUAAAAUAUACAUUAAAAAUAAAAGUCUCGAUAAGGCUCACGAGCUAUUCAAGCAAGUAUUUUGUAAUAGCCUAAUUUUAGGGUUAGUCAAGACAGUGGUUUUUGGACCACAAUAUGAGGUCAAAAUAAUUAUUUUAUUAUUUUAUUAAUGUUUACAGUAUCAUAGAAUGUUCGUGUAAAAAUUUCGUAAAGAGAUUUUAUCGUUUAAGUGUUUAAUUGGUAAAAAGGACUAAAUCGCUUAAAGCGUAAAAAUUGAGUUCUAAUAGCUAAAAGUGUUUAAAUUCUCUAGAAUUUAAAGGAGGAAGUCCUUAUGUGUUAAUUAGUCCAAUUAUGAGAUAGUGGCUAAAAAUGGUUUGGUAAUGUGGUAAAUUGAAUUGAUUUUUAAGGUUAAAUUUGUAAUAUGGUAAUUAAGUAAAGUAAAAAUAAAAUAAACAAAGGUGUCAUCUUCCACCCAUUAUAUUUCCACCAAAAAAUGAGAAAGAAAACACCAUGGAUAUGGCUUCAAAGGUUUGGCCAUCUUAAGAUUAAAUUAUAAGUUCAUUUUUGACUCGGUUUUUAAUAAUUUCUACGUUUUUUAGAUCAUUGCUUCGAAAUCUAGCUAGCCCGUACCUCUGAUUUCAAAACUGUUAAAGAUUUUGAUAGUUGUCAUUGUUGAAUAUAUGUGUUAAUUGAAGUUUGAUGAUGAAAUAUGAAAUUUUGAUGAUAGUUUUACAUGUUCAGUAAAGUGAUUUUGAGUAAAAAUGUCAAUUUUGGACUAAAUUAAGAAAAAUGAUAGAUCGUGUGGUAAAAGUGUGAAUAAAUAAAAAAUGUUGGCUUUUAUGGAAAUAAUAAAAAUUCAGCUAGCUUGGGUUUGUGUUUAAUUUUAUGAAAUUGUGAUUUUAUGUGACAAUGACUGAAUUGCAAAAAUGUGAAAGUUUAGGGGUAAAAGUGUAAAAUUGCCAUAAUGUGUAAAUUGUGUUAAAUUGAGUGAAUUAGUGAUUAAAUAAGGUAAUUUUUUUAAUAUAUAGAUUGAGAAAAAUAAGAUUUGGACCUAGAAAUAGGACAAAAACUAUGUAUUGGAUUAGUCGACCUAAUUCGUCGUUUCAACGAACGAGGUAAGUUCAUAUGUUAAAUAAUGUUCUUAAAUUGUGUUCUAAAUGUCCAUUUAUCAUUGAAUUGAUAUGAAUAUUGAUUGGAUGAGUACGACCAUGAAUCGAAAAAGUUACGACGUUUGAAAGUCCCGUACGAACAUUUGGAAUAGCUUAGGAUACUAAGAUGUGAUUACGUGUAAGACCAUGUCUGGGACAUUGGCAUUCUUACGUGAUUCGUGUAAGACCAUGUAUGGGACAUUGGCAUCGAUACGAUAUUCGUGUAAGACCAUGUUUGGGAUGUUGGCAUCGAUAUGAAAUUCGUGUAAGACCAUAGUUGGCUAUUGGCAUUGAUAUGUGAUAACAUGUAAGACCAUAUCUGGGAUAUGGCAUUGUGCGAGUUAUACGAGAUUUUUGAGUAUCCUUAGCAAUUCUUAAUGGUUCAACGGGGAAAUUCAAGAGGAGAAUAAAAGUGUAAACGAAAUAAGUGGUACAGGUAUGUACGAUACUCAUACGUAUAUUGAAUGAAAGAAGAUUGAUAAAUAGAUGUGAGCUCGUGUAUAUUACAUGGAAAUGUUUGAGUUUAUGUAAGUGUUUGAUUUAUAUAAAUGCUUAUUGAGGAUAUCGAAUUUCACAUUAUGAGUAAGUGGAUAGUUAUGAGAAAUCCAUAUAGUUGGUUUAUGUGGCAUGUAUAGGCUAGUUGAUUGGAUGAGUACGACCAUGAAUCGAAAAAGUUACGACGUUUGAAAGUCCCGUACGAACAUUUGAAAUAGCUUAGGAUACUAAGAUGUGAUUACGUGUAAGACCAUGUCUGGGACAUUGGCAUUCUUACGUGAUUCGUGUAAGACCAUGUAUGGGACAUUGGCAUCGAUACGAUAUUCGUGUAAGACCAUGUCUGGGAUGUUGGCAUCGAUAUGAAAUUCGUGUAAGACCAUAGUUGGCUAUUGGCAUUGAUAUGUGAUAACAUGUAAGACCAUAUCUGGGAUAUGGCAUUGUGCGAGUUAUACGAGAUUUUUGAGUAUCCUUAGCAAUUCUUAAUGGUUCAACGGGGAAAUUCAAGAGGAGAAUAAAAGUGUAAACGAAAUAAGUGGUACAGGUAUGUACGAUACUCAUACGUAUAUGGAAUGAAAGAAGAUUGAUAAAUAGAUGUGAGCUCGUGUAUAUUACAUGGAAAUGUUUGAGUUUAUGUAAGUGUUUGAUUUAUAUAAAUGCUUAUUGAGGAUAUCGAAUUUCACAUUAUGAGUAAGGUUUUGUUAUAAGUAUCAAUAUGAUUACUAACAAUUUUUUUAAUUCACUAUUUUAAAAUAAAAAUGCAAGUAUAAACAAACAUUAACUAUUCAAUUAGAUUUUGAUUCCAAAGAAAAAAAUCAUAACAAAUAGAAGUUAAACAAGCCUAAUAAAAAAUAGAACAAAACCUUAAUAUAGUAUUGUGAGAUGUUAAAGGUUCAAUUUUAGUUCAUAAGAAAAUCACUUCUCUUACAUGCACAUAUUAUAUAUAUAUAUCAAUCUUUUAAUAAACAAAGAUAACAAGUUAUAAGAAAAUAUUAAAAAGAAAAAGUGAAAGAUGGCAUGCCAAGAUCUUGUUGUUGUUGUGGCACUUAUUUUCAUGGUUGUUGUUGGGGCAUUUGUAGUCGAAUCGUCACCUUCACCAGUCCCUUCCAAGGCAUCUUCACCUUCGAAGUCACCAUCUCCUUCUUCUCUGGCUUCAUCCCCCAAGUCCCCCUCCAUUAAGUCACCGUCACAAGACUCCAAUGGCUCAUCUUUUUCACCAUCAAAAUCCCACGAAGGAGCACCCAAGUCAUCUCAUCCUGGUGCCCCAAUGAGCUCUUCAAGCUCCUCUUCCCCUAAUCCUAGUCAAAGCGACAACCCUAACGCCAACAAAGGAUACUCUUCCGAGGUUGAGUCUCCUGAAGAGGUCUCAUCAC